CCGGCACGGGUGAGUAACACGUAUGCAAUCCACCUGUAACAGGGGGAUAACCCGGAGAAAUCCGGACUAAUACCCCAUAAUAUGGGCGCUCCGCAUGGAGAGCCCAUUAAAGAGAGCAAUUUUGGUUACAGACGAGCAUGCGCUCCAUUAGCCAGUUGGCGGGGUAACGGCCCACCAAAGCGACGAUGGAUAGGGGUUCUGAGAGGAAGGUCCCCCACAUUGGUACUGAGACACGGACCAA
Molecule: ribosomal RNA, 241 nt
Filed under: uncultured bacterium
Lineage: Bacteria
Description: partial 16S ribosomal RNA
Rfam family: Bacterial small subunit ribosomal RNA
Source: RNAcentral